CUGGGAGGUGACAUCUGAGUGGAAUCAAAUCUUUCAGGACUGGUUGGGGUGUGCUGGUCCAGAGGACAGAUGGCGAGAGGACAGGAAGAGGGCUGGAGAGCGUGCUUCAGGCGGAUGGGAAGCAGCCGCAUCUUCAUCCACGUGUUUUACUGGACAGUGUGGCAUCAAAAAUUGCUGUUGCAGGUGUUUUCUAAAGACCCGUGGAGACAGACUGCUUUGGAAGACAGUGUGGCAUGGCAGAUUAAAGAGCAUGGGCUUCAGUCAUGAGACCUGACAGGCAUAAAUUCAGGAUACCAGAUAAGCAUCUACGAUCUGAGAAGGAAGUAGCGAUUUGGUGUGGUGGUGUUUUUCUUUUCCCAGAGAGGAGUAAGCAGAGCCCUGGGUUUUGACAAAUUCAAGUAAUGCAGCGUAUUAUAAAAGAAGAAGAGAAAAAGGCAUGGAACUGAUUCCCAUCUCACGGUGCCAAAAGGAAAACACAUUCGGUGCCACAGAUGUGUUCUCUGCCCUGGGAACCCUCCAUUGCAUCUCUGUCCUCCUGCCUGCCUAUCCAUGGACAGUAUGGGAGAUGUACCUGUGAAUCAUUUGACUUGUCAUCCUCAAGAAUGUCACCCCUCACGUUCUCGGCCAUAUUAGAAGCUGGGUUGCUGAGGUCAUCUGCAACGUUGUGGUUCCCAUGCUGCACACAGUAGAUUCAUCCUACUGAGCCAGUUUUGUGAAUCCAAGUGAUAGCCGCAGGAGUUAAAGUUCAUUCUCCCGUGUUCGCACACCCUAACUUCUGGCAGUGUGCCUCUCCACAAGGCUGCCUACGGACCUGACUGAAAGAAAACACCAUUCCUGGGUCCUAGCCCAGCAGAAUCCAGACUGAAGGAGCAGCCUCCACCUGGGAUAUGCUGUUCUUCUGGCAUAGGAUAGAAGCAAGAAGCCCAGCCAAACCAUGCAAGCACAGUUAAAGCUUUUCUGCCAGAGGGUAUAUGUCACAUCUGUGGGCAAGAGCAAGUUACAUGGCUAAGACUGACAAGGGUUGGGAUAGUAUCUGUCUACAGCAAGGCGGGGUAAGAGUGGGGGUGAAUUAUACUCCUAGAGAGGAGAGAGUAGAUAAUUGGGAACAAUAAUAAACUAUACUACAGACCUCAAAUAUGCUAUGCUAUACCUUAUGAUUCUUCCCUACCCCUCAUCAUUUUAGGAAGAUGCUGUGUAUGCUCCGCUUUGUCUUGGGGUAAUUUAAAUAUCUGGUAUCUUACGGGUUAAGGUUUUAUAUGACAUCAGGUAAUCAGCAAUAAAAGAAUGAAUCACAAUUUUAAGUAACAUUUUUUUAAAUAAUUAUUUGUGUAUAUCUUUACUUAUAUUACUGGAGCACCACCUAAACUUUUCAGACAUUUAUAUACCAUAUAUAAGGCAAUUUCUUUUCCUGCAUUCUGGCAACUUCUCUGGUGCCUGUUUCUUCAUUUGCUGAUAUUAAGCUGUCUUCAAACACAAUUUCAUCCUUCUUUCUCUAUAUGCAAGGUUUUUCUAUAUGCAAGGUUGCCAGUGGGUAGACUGGGGGAUAAAAUACAUGCUACCAACAUUUUGAAUUCAUAAAAUAUUUUAGGAAA
Molecule: long non-coding RNA, 1592 nt
Organism: Camelus dromedarius (Arabian camel)
Lineage: Eukaryota; Metazoa; Chordata; Mammalia; Artiodactyla; Camelidae
Exons: 9
Source: RefSeq, a predicted model, not a curated record